RNAcentral lists this ribosomal RNA (253 nucleotides) under uncultured bacterium. RNAcentral's name for it is "partial 16S ribosomal RNA". It matches the Rfam family "Bacterial small subunit ribosomal RNA", at positions 524 to 776 of the family's 1533-position model. The record is from RNAcentral.
GACGAAGGAUGCAAGCGUUAUCCGGAUUCAUUGGGUUUAAAGGGUGCGUAGGCGGACUUGUAAGUCAGUGGUGAAAUCUCUCAGCUUAACUGAGAAACUGCCAUUGAUACUGCAAGUCUAGAGUAUAGAUGACGUUGGCGGAAUAUGACAUGUAGUGGUGAAAUACUUAGAUAUGUCAUAGAACACCGAUUGCGAAGGCAGCUAACGAAACUAUAACUGACGCUGAGGCACGAAAGUGCGGGGAUCAAACAGG